UACUGUAAAUCUUUUGGGUGUUUUUACAAUUGCCACCAGAUGGCAUUAUGAUAACAGGAAACAUCUUUACAUUUGCUUUUUAGGUUUGAUCAUCUACAUUGGAAACAUAUGAUCAUACAAAGCUAACACAUACUGUAGUCACAAUGACAUAUGCAAGAAGGGUGACCUAAUAUAAAAGUAUACUAUAAUAGUUUGUUCCAUACCGUAAAACACUAUAUAGCACACUAAAAUAUCUGUAUUUCUUAAAUAAAGAACAGUCAUUGUGCCACACAACUGCACCCCACCCCUUCCUGCCUCCACAACCCAAAGUUUUACAACAUUGCUUUUUGUCACUUCCUCAAAGGAUCUUCCCCAAACUGGUGAUAGAAAAAAAUACCACGAUGUAUGGGAUGUCAAAACAAUGAAGUGUUUUCCUCAAGGAUUUUCCUUAAUUAUUUAAAUACUGACAAGACUAAUUAUAAGAGUGAGCAGUUGAGCCAUUGGUAGGUAUAAAGCUCAUAUUCUUUUUAAGAAGGAAGCUUUGAUUCUGAAGCAUCGUUAGUUAUACAGAGGAUUCUAAAGUUAGCUUAGGAAGCAUUGGACCUCUCAGUUUCACAAGCGUUUAUUUUGUGUCUCUCUUCUGGGUGUGGCUGUAACACAGAAAUUUCACAGCACCAAGCACACACAUUUAUACAACAUAUUCAUUCCUAGGCGCAAUAUAAAGUAGCCAAUCAACCAAUAGAUAUAUUUUGCGAAGUGGAUGGAUGGAGACCCACAAGGAAAGGAAAAGAACAUAGGAAUCUCCACACAGACAGUAACAGUUUCAUACACAGACACACAAAUAUAUACAUGUAUUCUGUCGUUCUAUAUGACAGACUUUGAUAACAUGGCUUUCUCUCUAUAUACAUGUAUUCUGUCGUUCUAUAUGACAGACUUUGAUAACAUGGUAUUACUAAUGACACCUUUUGUGAAACAAAUAUUAAGGUGUUGUGAAAGUCGUCAUGAGUCAUCUCCUGAGUCAUCUCCUUUGUCAUUAACAAUGAUAAAGUGACAACCUAUUUCCUGUGCUAAGUACUGUUUGUUAUUCCUGUCUAUGAAAAAAGAAGAAACAUUGGAGUAGACAUGACCUGUUCCAGAGACAGGAGCAGCAUCCUCUGUGCUGAAUAAUUGAGAGAAAGUCCUGGAUAAUCCAUCAGAGCAAAGGACGAGAGAGGGCAAGUGGAAGUGAGAAGGAGAGAAGGGAAGUAAGAGAUAUCAGAGAAACAAGAGAACCUGAAAAUGACAAUGGAAUGUAUCAUGAAUAUGACAACAGUCCAUCACAGAACAAUCUCACAAUCACACCAAGAGGCAAUUUACAGUUACUGAUGUUAUGACGACAGCACUACACCAGCUCUGUGCCCUUGUAAUGGUUUCCGGUGCCUGCCACCUCACCUUCCUCUCUACACAGCUGUCUUCCCUGGACCUCAGGCUCUAUCAUAGCCUACUUCAUAAAUCAAAGCACCUGGUCUUAUGACACACUGGACCGAGGCAAUUAAAAAAAGGAACUUUCUUAUCCAGUGAAGAAAACGGAGACAGCUUGCCGGAUGAAAUAAAGCACUGAGAAUAAAAGACAUGCUGUGUGGGAUAUUUAGAACACUUUGGACUCCCUCAGGAGGCAAUGGAGACUGUAAUUAAAAAUGAGGAAUGAAUUGGAAAGCAUUUGUCACUCUAAUUGUGGGGCUUUUCAUCUACGGCUGGAACGAGAGUUGGCAAAGCAUGGUAUCACUUCUGCGGUGCUCUGAUGGUUUGCCCACCAUUUGACGAGACAUCAGUGAUUCGUUUGAGACAUGCAUCUGGUAUGUGCAAGCAUUUUGGAAAAAUUGACAAGAUCUCACUAAACACACAUUUAUAUUAGUCACAAAAAAUAACUUUAUAAAACGUAAUUUAUUGUGUCUAAUAGAAUGACUCAUCUUAAUUGCCUUAAUGUUUGCGUUUGCUUUCUUCAAAUGCUUGAUUCAGUGGGAAUUGAUUGAUUUAAUGACAAAAGUUUCAUUCAAUUUAUUAAAUGUAUGUAUUAGAAAUAAAUUAAUGGUUUAAAGAUAUUUAUUUUAUUUAAGCACAAACCUAGAUAUAUAUUUGCAUUAAUUCAUGAUAAUUCUACAAUCUAAAGUCUAUCAGUUGUAGUUCAUAUUAGAUAGACAUUGUAUACACAAAUAUACACAAAGAUUCAGGAGCUUCUGUAAGAUAUGAAUGUUAAUGAAUGGAUCGAUGGAUUCUCUUAAAUACUGCAUUAAUGUUUAAAUGUACCUGCAAAUGUUUUAAGAAAAAGUUCAUUCAUAUCCAGUUUGAUGAAUGAGGCCAGGUCUAUUCUCUUCCCCUUACGAUUGCAUGCCAUGUUUUCAUUCCAGCCUUUUAUAUGACCACAGGAUCUUCACCUCUGUAAUUAUGUCUCUGCAGUGUGGUCCAAUGCCUAUAAUCCUGCUCCAUCCUUUUAGAGCAUCCGUUUUAGAGCUCCACCAGAGCCACAAAGCCACUGUUCCCUGAGGCCAGCUUGUUUGUUUUUCAUGCCAGUUUGUUUCAGUUGGGUUUUGUCCAGCUCACUGGUGGCACCUGCCCUGCCUGUGUCAUGUGCUAAGGAGACAGAUGGCAGGAUCAGCUGGUGUCCUACCUUAGUUCUUCUCUCAGUUGCACUUCUCAACACAAAGUGCAGGAAAGCAACCAGCUUUCACUUAAAUGAAAAGUUUCCAGUAUAAAGACAAAUUCAACUUUUUCCUUAUUCCUGUUUCAAAAUCUAUCUAUCAAAUGUUCACGAAGGGAAAAUAAACAAACCAAAGCAAAUCUGAAGCAGUACUCUUUAAUCCAGUAUGAUGUAUGAGCUGCAUAGAUAAAUCAACUAAUACAUAUGUCAAUACUGCUGAAUGUUUCUUCUAGUUAAGAAAUACAUGGAAAUACAUUUCUACAGUCAGUUGAACAUUGUUGUUGUUUUUUAAUAUAAUUUUUAUUUGUUUAAUGUAACUUUAGUAUUACUUCAAUAUCACUUUGAAGUGUAGAAAAGUACCAAUUUUCAAUUCCUCUCAUAGCUGCUUUCAUUAAAACAUAAAUAAAAUGUAAUAAUACGAUACUUGCACGGCAUAUUGAAUUCCGUUAUUGUCAUGUCACUAUCCUUUUCUACCAAACUAGUCUAGAAUGGCUGAUCAGGACCGGUUUUGAGAGGCUGCUGAGGCUGGAGAUGUCUUAGUCAGUUCAUCCAUUCAACUCAUAGCUCAUUAUCAGUCUUGAAUAACUUCCCAGAUGACAUUGUAUUCUCCAAAGGCUACUCAUUGAGCUAUAAAUAGCUGAUGGACAUGAGCUUCCAUACUGCAGAAUCAAUUUCAGCUAAGUCACCAUAUCAUCCAUGGAAAUGUAUUAUAAGCCUUAAAUAGUGUUAUAUGACACAUAGAUUUAUUAUUCUUCAUUUAUUGCACCUUAUUUAUUUUCAUCCUUAAAGUGUUUAGUUGAAGUGUAAGCUGGAAACGUCAUUUUUAGCUGUGCAUGGCUGUUAAUUGAAGUGUGGUUCUUUGCUGUUGUUUAUUAACAUUUUACCACACUAAUAAAACAGAAUAAAAAUAGAGAUGUUUUGUAUCACUUUUUACUUUAACUAUGGAAAAGAUGUCUAGUCGGCUGCUCUUUUAAAUUUCUGGUCGGCUAGUAAAAAUUAAUAGUUGUGUAAGUCCUAGUAUGGUGAGCUGUGUAUCUGAAGGUCGCAUCCAUCCUUCAAACUUCACUGAGAAAGAAAAAAGCUAAGAAACACACCUAGUGGAAGCACAACUACCACCACAUGAUCCUGUAAGACUGAAUGCCUUGAUGCUUGUAAGAACGAACGCCUAAUUCUAGAGGUUAUGGGGAAGAGUCAAAGCAGUG
Long non-coding RNA from Tachysurus fulvidraco (yellow catfish), 3858 nucleotides. RefSeq lists it as uncharacterized. The transcript has 4 exons. Lineage: Eukaryota; Metazoa; Chordata; Actinopteri; Siluriformes; Bagridae. The record is from RefSeq and is a predicted model, not a curated record.